CCCCGCUUGGUUCGGAGGGGAGUGGAGAGACGUGCUGACCAUGGAUGGAGGUGUUUGAGAAUCUGGGAUGAUAAACAGAUGAAGACGGUGGCUGGAGGCCUGAAGGGAAGCAAAAAGUUGGACCUCUGCUGGACUUUUGAAGAGCCUGAAUCCGGUCUGUGUAUCGAGCCAACUUGGAAAUGAUGGGGGGAACAGAUGAAAACUGCAGAUGGACACAAAUCAUUUGGAUCCAUGAAGGUCUGCUUUAAAAAAAAAAGGCAGGCAUGUCGUCCCUCACUUAUUGGAAGGGGAACGCAGCCUCAAGCCCCUGACACCAGAAGAGGGGCCUGCAUGCCAGCAUGUGGCCAGUUCAGGAGCGCUCUGGGAAGCAGCCAACACCUGACAGAUGCCACUUGGGGGAAAAAAUCCCGGAGGAGGAAAGAGAUCCUUCACUUGCCGCGGAGCUGGCCAGAAUACUGAAAAACAGUUUUGCAGUUACAUCAUCCACCGUCCACCCCCGUCGCUGCAAGCUGUAUUAACAUUGUGCUUUAAAAAAUACCAACAGAGUAAACAACAUGUUGGUGAUUUUUCAUUCUCCUAUACAGGUCAUGACAGACCAAAUAAAAUGGAAAAUUGCUUUGCAUAACAGUCUGACGCUUAUGAUGAGAACACGCCGCUGGAUUAUCUCUGCUGUGCUACUCUUCAUUAAUUAACUGAUUAAUUAUUAUUUCUUUUGAAAAAAAAUAAUAUAAAUCAGCGGGAAUAUUUGUUUACUGAUGACAGCGGUUGUUUUCAGUAUGCGUGUCUGUGCGGGUGUGUGUGCGCGCGCGCGCGCGUGUGUGAAAUCUGCCGCGCAGUGCCGGGGAAACAAACAAAAGAGGUGCUUUGAAUGGCACGUGCUGGCAGCGUCACUCACCUGUUUCCUAGCAACCAACACAACAGAAAAGCACCUGUGGCUCUGAAUGGGAGCCAGAAACCAACAACUCAUUUAAAAAUAAAAAGGCAGACCGCAGUAAUAUUCCCAAAACAGGAAGAGACAAAAUCCAUGGAAUAAUUCUGCUGUAUUAAACACAUACACAUAACCUUAUCAUUUAUUGAAAUAUAAAUGAUUACGAUUAUUAUUCUUUAAAAUUAAGCCAAACACUUCAUCAUUCAUGUCCAAGUUGUAGUUUCCUGAGCACAAUGAAGAUUUGCUAUUAAACAUACACUUAUGUCAAUAUGUUCAGGAGCAUUUAACGUAGCUGUAGCUGUGCACUGCACAGAAAUGUUAUAUAUAAAUAUAUGAAUGUGCUUAUUAAUGACUAUGAGCAUAGUUUAUUUCAGAAAAAUACAGUGUUGAUCUGUUUUCCAAGCUUUGAGGUUGUUGUUUUUUAAUCCACAUAAAGAAUUUGUACAUGUGUGUUGUCUGGCAAACUGAACUGUCAAGAGACAAACACUGCUGGUCAUGUUUAGAGCCAGACAUAGACUGAUACCAGAUCAUCUGGAGAGACUGUUUAAACCAGGGGUCUCAAAGAGUCAUAAUGGCCUGGGUUUUGUUCCAUCCAAACUGUUACACACAUAAACCAAUGAGGUGUCUGCUGAAACAAGCAACACCUGACUGACAAUCUAAUGAUUAUAGUCUUCAGUCACCUGAUUUGUGAAAAGGUGUUCUUUUGAUCGGUUGGAACAAAAACCUGCACCGUAUGAUUCCCUUUUGUGGAUCAGUUUGAAACUAACUCCUGAUGAGGAGGAGCAGAGAAGAAGAGGGAGCCUCCGCCAACCUAUAUAUUAGAACCGCACUGAGACACAUGUACCCUGCAAUAGUGGGAGGGAAUAUGUGGAUCUCACUGACAAAGGAAAUGAAAAACCUGAGCAACAUAAAGUUGUUUUUUUUUUAAGAAAAUGGGUCUCAGGCACAAAAACUGCUAGAUUCGUCUGGAGAAGAGACCAUUAAGUUUCUAAUUACCUGAACACACAAAGGACAAAGACACUCAC
Long non-coding RNA from Synchiropus splendidus (mandarinfish), 1953 nucleotides. RefSeq lists it as uncharacterized. The transcript has 2 exons. NCBI's taxonomy places the organism in Eukaryota, Metazoa, Chordata, Actinopteri, Syngnathiformes, Callionymidae. The record is from RefSeq and is a predicted model, not a curated record.